GACGAACGCUGGCGGCGUGCUUAACACAUGCAAGUCGAACGGAAAGGCCCUGCUUUUGUGGGGUGCUCGAGUGGCGAACGGGUGAGUAACACGUGAGUAACCUGCCCUUGACUUUGGGAUAACUUCAGGAAACUGGGGCUACUACCGGUUAGGAGCUCCUGCUGCAUGGUGGGGGUUGGAAAGUUUCGGCGGUUGGGGUUGGACUUGCGGCUUAUCAGCUUGUUGGUGGGGUAGUGGCUUACCAAGGCUUUGACGGGUAGCCGGCCUGGGAGGGUGACCGGCGACAUUGGGACUGAGAUACGGCCCAGACUCCGACGGGAGGCAGCAGUGGGGAAUAUUGCACAAUGGGCGGAAGCCUGAGUCAGCAACGCCGCGUGCGGGAUGACGGCCUUCGGGUUGUAAACCGCUUUCGCCUGUGACGAAGCGUGAGUGACGGUAAUGGGUAAAGAAGCACCGGCUAACUACGUG
This 468-nucleotide ribosomal RNA is filed under the name uncultured bacterium. Its description in RNAcentral is "partial 16S ribosomal RNA". It matches the Rfam family "Bacterial small subunit ribosomal RNA", at positions 28 to 507 of the family's 1533-position model. The record is from RNAcentral.